This 1243-nucleotide ribosomal RNA is filed under the name uncultured Planctomycetota bacterium. Its description in RNAcentral is "bacterial SSU rRNA". It matches the Rfam family "Bacterial small subunit ribosomal RNA", at positions 91 to 1327 of the family's 1533-position model. The record is from RNAcentral. Lineage: Bacteria; Pseudomonadati; Planctomycetota.
GUUAGUGGCGAAAGGGUGAGUAAUGGAUAGGUAACGUACCCCGGUCUCUGGGAUAGCCAUCCGAAAGGGUGGGUAAUACCGGAUAACAUCACAGGUCGAUGGGCCUGUGCUCAAAGAUUCAUCGGACCGGGAGCGGCCUAUCUCCUAUCAGCUAGUUGGUGAGGUAACGGCCCACCAAGGCGAAGACGGGUAGCGGGACUGAGAGGUUGGCCUGCCACAUCGGAACUGAGACACUGUCCGGACCCCCACGGGGGGCUGCAGUAACGAAUCUUGGGCAAUGGGCGAAAGCCUGACCCAGCGACGCCGCGUGCGGGAGGAAGUCCCUCGGGAUGUAAACCGCUGUCAGGGGUAAGAAAGUCCACUUCGGUGGAUUGAUCGAACCCAGAGGAAGUCACGGCUAACUCUGUGCCAGCAGCCGCGGUAAGACAGAGGUGGCUAGCGUUGUUCGGUAUCACUGGGCUUAAAGCGUGUGUAGGCGGGAGCGUAAGCAUUUUGUGAAAUCCCCCGGCUCAACCGGGGCAUUGCUUGAUGUACUGCGUUCCUUGAGGCAAGUAGGGGUGCGAGGAACUCUUGGUGGAGCGGUGGAAUGCGUAGAUAUCAAGAGGAACGCCGAUGGUGAAGACAUCGCACUAGGCUUGUCCUGACGCUGAGACACGAAAGCGUGGGGAGCGAACGGGAUUAGAUACCCCNGGUAGUCCACGCCNGUAAACGAUGCUUACUAGGGUUGUGGCGGGUUCUGACGCCGNGCACAGCCGNAAGCCAAAGUGUUAAGUAAGCCGCCUGGGGAGUACGGUCGCAAGGCUAAAACUCAAAGGAAUUGACGGGGGCUCACACAAGCGGUGGAGCAUGUGGAUCAAUUCGAAGCAACGCGCAGAACCUUACCUGGGUUUGACAUGCUUGGAUGCCUUUCUGGAAACAGAGUAGGCUGCCCUUCGGGGUGAAACUUGCACAGGUGCUGCAUGGCUGUCGUCAGCUCGUGUCGUGAGAUGUCGGGUUAAGUCCCUUAACGAGCGAAACCCUUACCGUUAGUUACCAGCGGGUCAUGCCGGGAACUCUAGCGGGACUGCCGGUGUUAAACCGGAGGAAGGCGGGGAUGACGUCAAGUCAUCAUGGCCUUUAUGCCCAGGGCCUCACACGUGCUACAAUGGUCGGUACAAAGCGACGCGAGACCGCAAGGUGGAGCCAAUCGCAAAAAAGCGGCCCCAGUUCGGAUUGUAGGCUGGCAACUCGCCUGCAUGAAGUU